RNAcentral lists this transfer RNA (72 nucleotides) under Bos taurus (domestic cattle). It matches the Rfam family "tRNA". Rfam says of the family: Transfer RNA (tRNA) molecules are approximately 80 nucleotides in length. Their secondary structure includes four short double-helical elements and three loops (D, anti-codon, and T loops). The record is from Rfam by way of RNAcentral. RNAcentral also lists the same sequence under 3 other names. Lineage: Eukaryota; Metazoa; Chordata; Mammalia; Artiodactyla; Bovidae.
UCCCUGGUGGCUCAGCUGGUAAAGAAUCUGCCUGCAAUGCAGGAGAUCUGGGUUCGAUCCCUAGGUUGGGAA